RNAcentral lists this ribosomal RNA (482 nucleotides) under uncultured bacterium. RNAcentral describes it as "partial 16S ribosomal RNA". It matches the Rfam family "Bacterial small subunit ribosomal RNA", at positions 30 to 507 of the family's 1533-position model. The record is from RNAcentral.
AUUGAACGCUGGCGGCAUGCCUUACACAUGCAAGUCGAACGGUAACAGGUCUUCGGAUGCUGACGAGUGGCGAACGGGUGAGUAAUACAUCGGAACGUGCCCGAUCGUGGGGGAUAACGAAGCGAAAGCUUUGCUAAUACCGCAUACGAUCUACGGAUGAAAGCGGGGGGUCUUCGGACCUCGCGCGGACGGAGCGGCCGAUGGCAGAUUAGGUAGUUGGUGGGAUAAAAGCUUACCAAGCCGACGAUCUGUAGCUGGUCUGAGAGGAUGAUCAGCCACACUGGGACUGAGACACGGCCCAGACUCCUACGGGAGGCAGCAGUGGGGAAUUUUGGACAAUGGGCGCAAGCCUGAUCCAGCCAUGCCGCGUGCAGGAUGAAGGCCUUCGGGUUGUAAACUGCUUUUGUACGGAACGAAAAGGUGCCUUCUAAUAAAGGGCGCUCAUGACGGUACCGUAAGAAUAAGCACCGGCUAACUACGUG